RNAcentral lists this ribosomal RNA (524 nucleotides) under uncultured bacterium. RNAcentral's name for it is "bacterial SSU rRNA". It matches the Rfam family "Bacterial small subunit ribosomal RNA", at positions 28 to 545 of the family's 1533-position model. The record is from RNAcentral.
AUUGAACGCUGGCGGCAUGCCUUACGCAUGCAAGUCGAACGGCAGCACGGGUGCUUGCACCUGGUGGCGAGUGGCGAACGGGUGAGUAAUACAUCGGAACAUGUCCUGUAGUGGGGGAUAGCCCGGCGAAAGCCGGAUUAAUACCGCAUACGAUCUACGGAUGAAAGCGGGGGACCUUCGGGCCUCGCGCUAUAGGGUUGGCCGAUGGCUGAUUAGCUAGUUGGUGGGGUAAAGGCCUACCAAGGCGACGAUCAGUAGCUGGUCUGAGAGGACGACCAGCCACACUGGGACUGAGACACGGCCCAGACUCCUACGGGAGGCAGCAGUGGGGAAUUUUGGACAAUGGGCGAAAGCCUGAUCCAGCAAUGCCGCGUGUGUGAAGAAGGCCUUCGGGUUGUAAAGCACUUUUGUCCGGAAAGAAAUCCUUGGCUCUAAUACAGUCGGGGGAUGACGGUACCGGAAGAAUAAGCACCGGCUAACUACGUGCCAGCAGCCGCGGUAAUACGUAGGGUGCGAGCGUUAAU